GUCCACGCCCUAAACGAUGCGAACUGGACGUUGGGAGCAAUUAGGCUCUCAGUGUCGAAGCUAACGCGUUAAGUUCGCCGCCUGGGGAGUACGGUCGCAAGACUGAAACUCAAAGGAAUUGACGGGGCCCGCACAAGCGGUGGAGUAUGUGGUUUAAUUCGAUGCAACGCGCAGAACCUUACCUGGCCUUGACAUCCACGGAAUCCUUGAGAGAUCAGGGAGUGCCUUCGGGAACCGUGAGACAGGUGCUGCAUGGCUGUCGU
RNAcentral lists this ribosomal RNA (263 nucleotides) under uncultured bacterium. RNAcentral's name for it is "partial 16S ribosomal RNA". It matches the Rfam family "Bacterial small subunit ribosomal RNA", at positions 793 to 1055 of the family's 1533-position model. The record is from RNAcentral.